This 478-nucleotide ribosomal RNA is filed under the name uncultured bacterium. RNAcentral describes it as "partial 16S ribosomal RNA". It matches the Rfam family "Bacterial small subunit ribosomal RNA", at positions 28 to 523 of the family's 1533-position model. The record is from RNAcentral.
GACGAACGCUGGCGGCGUGCUUAACACAUGCAAGUCGAACGGUAAGGCCCCUCGGGGUACACGAGUGGCGAACGGGUGAGUAACACGUGGGUGAUCUGCCCUGCACUUCGGGAUAAGCCUGGGAAACUGGGUAUAAUACCGGAUAGGACCCUGGGAUGCAUGUCAUGGGGUGGAAAGAUUUUGCGGUGUGGGAUGGGCCCGCGGGCUAUCAGCUGGUUGGUGGGGUGAUGGCCUACCAAGGCGACGACGGGUAGCCGGCCUGAGAGGGUGACCGGCCACACUGGGACUGAGAUACGGCCCAGACUCCGACGGGAGGCAGCAGUGGGGAAUAUUGCACAAUGGGCGCAAGCCUGAUGCAGCGACGCCGCGUGAGGGAUGACGGCCUUCGGGUUGUAAACCUCUUUCAGCACCGACGAAGCGCAAGUGACGGUAGGUGCAGAAGAAGGACCGGCCAACUACGUGCCAGCCGCCGCAGUAA